AUUUUCUUAAUUAAAAGGAUUUAUGAAGUAUUUAUGCUUCAAAAGUUCAUGUCUAUUUUGGUGAUGAGAAUUCAAUCUAUUUUGUUCCUUUAUGCUACUUCGCAUGUACUGUGGUCAUGAAGUGUGCAGGUUGUUAUUUACUUGCAUGUCAAGAUUCGUUUUAGUUUGAGUCCAUUACUAUGUUUCCUAUUGUUACAGUCUGUGAAUGUUAAAACACCUAUUCUGACAAAUCGGAUGUGCCUCUGCAGUUAUACAGCACUGUGACAUUGCGUUAAGGGAGAGAAGAAGCAUCACAAUAACAAGGUUGAUGUUUAUAGCUUUGGGAUUGUCUUGCGGAAGCUGUUUACUAACUGCAUGCCAUUUGAAGGCAUAUACAAUUUACAGGCUGCAUAUGCUGCUGCUUUCAAGGAGUUGGCAGGCAUAUCGAUUAGAGUCUCUGUGUUGGGAUCUAAACCUAGACAGCAAGAGAACUAUGCUUGCUCCUCCAUUUUCUCCUCAUAUUAAGCAAUCAUUCACAAAAUCACUGCCACUAUUGAAGAACAAUAGCUGAAGAAAAUUGUACAUUCCCUUCUGCAUUAUGGAGGAAGAAAGAUCAAACUAAAUGAAGACCAAAAAAAACAAAACAGAACGAGAGAAUGGACGCAAACAAUAAUGCUACUACAUCCAACGGAGAGUUAAUUCAAUGUCAAGAUAUUUCCACGAAGACAGUCUCCAAUGGAGGAAUGAUUUAAGGGUUCAUCUUGGCCUUUAUUUUAAGCAAUGUUGUGCAUCACUAUCUCAACUCUCAAGUCUCUUUCACAACUGAACAUGGAGCAUUCCUGAGAACCUGUUGCAAAAGAGUACUAGCAUCAAUGGGAACAAGUCCUACUGUGCAACAAUUGAUAGUUUAUCUAUUGUGCAAAUAAAUAGACCUAGAUCAGUUCUUGCAAGAAGCACAAUACCGCUGGCUUCGUCUGGUUGAAAUGUGUAAAAUACUCCAGAACUACCAAAGGUUCCAGUUGAGUCAUGAUCCACCUAACAGGCCUGCAGGUGAGGUUAUUACUGGAUCAUUUCUUCCCC
Molecule: RNA transcript, 1059 nt
Organism: Tripterygium wilfordii
Lineage: Eukaryota; Viridiplantae; Streptophyta; Magnoliopsida; Celastrales; Celastraceae
Exons: 4
Source: RefSeq, a predicted model, not a curated record